AGCGAACGCUGGCGGCAGGCUUAACACAUGCAAGUCGAACGGGCAUAGCAAUAUGUCAGUGGCAGACGGGUGAGUAACGCGUGGGAACGUACCUUUUGGUUCGGAACAACACAGGGAAACUUGUGCUAAUACCGGAUAAGCCCUUACGGGGAAAGAUUUAUCGCCGAAAGAUCGGCCCGCGUCUGAUUAGCUAGUUGGUAGGGUAAUGGCCUACCAAGGCGACGAUCAGUAGCUGGUCUGAGAGGAUGAUCAGCCACAUUGGGACUGAGACACGGCCCAAACUCCUACGGGAGGCAGCAGUGGGGAAUAUUGGACAGUGGGCGAAAGCCUGAAGCAGCCAUGCCGCGUGAGUGAUGAAGGCCGUAGGGUUGUAAAGCUCUUUUGUGCGGGAAGAUAAUGACGGUACCGAAAGAAUAAGCCCCGGCUAACUUCGUG
This 435-nucleotide ribosomal RNA is filed under the name uncultured bacterium. Its description in RNAcentral is "partial 16S ribosomal RNA". It matches the Rfam family "Bacterial small subunit ribosomal RNA", at positions 29 to 507 of the family's 1533-position model. The record is from RNAcentral.